This 87-nucleotide transfer RNA is filed under the name bacterium. RNAcentral's name for it is "tRNA-Leu". It matches the Rfam family "tRNA". Rfam says of the family: Transfer RNA (tRNA) molecules are approximately 80 nucleotides in length. Their secondary structure includes four short double-helical elements and three loops (D, anti-codon, and T loops). Further hydrogen bonds mediate the characteristic L-shaped molecular structure. tRNAs have two regions of fundamental functional importance: the anti-codon, which is responsible for specific mRNA codon recognition, and the 3' end, to which the tRNAs corresponding amino acid is attached (by aminoacyl-tRNA synthetases). tRNAs cope with the degeneracy of the genetic code in two manners: having more than one tRNA (with a specific anti-codon) for a particular amino acid; and 'wobble' base-pairing, i.e. permitting non-standard base-pairing at the 3rd anti-codon position. RNAcentral also lists the same sequence under 3 other names. The record is from RNAcentral.
GCCGAAGUGGUGGAAUUGGUAGACGCGCUGGUUUCAGAGACCAGUGAGAGCAAUCUCGUGGGGGUUCGACUCCCCCCUUCGGCACCA